This is a long non-coding RNA of Megalopta genalis, 1501 nucleotides long. RefSeq lists it as uncharacterized. The record is from RefSeq and is a predicted model, not a curated record. NCBI's taxonomy places the organism in Eukaryota, Metazoa, Arthropoda, Insecta, Hymenoptera, Halictidae.
UUGCUUCUCUUGUUCCUGUUGCUCGUUCGAUGGCGCUGUUGCGCUUGUUUCAACUGGAGAGCAUGAGUUAUCAGACGCGAAGGUGGUACUCUCAUCGGGUGAAGUCGUACUUGUGGUAUCUGUGCUCACAAAUGAAACGGAAAUAAAAACCUAGUAGACGCGUGCUCCUACGAUUCUCCUAUAUACGAUCUAGAGUAUCUUUUGUGGAAAGAAUAGAAAAUAGUGGAACAGUGGCACAAGGAAACAAAGUUCGGUCGAAUAUACAUUGUUCCGACAAAGCAAUACAGCGGGAAACUACGGCUAAUCGAGACAUGGGAGUGUGGAGAUUUUGUGCGAGUGUUAAUUGUUCGUGUAUCGGUCGAGAAAUAAAUGUACGAUUAGUGGUCGAAUCGAACGGAGUUGUCGAGAGCAUAUAUCUUGGACUAACCUAUGUAUAAUAGGUAGUAUGUAAUGUCAUAUCGCAGCGAAUCCUACUGUCCGAUACGUAAGUCCUGUAUAAAUAUGAAAUAAAUUUCGCCUCGGAUAUGUGUCGAGGUGAUCGACGACUAGGCAACGGCAACGAUAGGAAACUAGGCGCGUAGACGACGCGGGAUAAAGAUCGCUCGAUAAUCGAUCGAGCGUGUGCACGGGUUGCGUCGCGACGGGUGAAGUUGCGAAGGUAAUUGUGCGCGUGUUUGUUUAAACAAAGGUGCCUGUUCUCACUCACCUGAUACUAUUUCCUGGGAGGUCAUUUGGAGAAGGAGCGCGAGUUGUUGACGCUCGGACAUCCGCGCUGGGUAACCGCGGAAACGACUGUUACCGCCUGCGGGCAUUCCGUCCUCAUAACUCAUGUAACUCGAUCUCGAAAACGCACGUGGAGGAUCACGGUGUACACUUUAAUGAAAAGAUGCCAGGCCGCGUGUGGUCGCGCGCGCGCGCCUUUAUUCCUUGGUCCGCCGUGAUUUGCCACGAGCGAAGAUAACCUAAAAUCGCACGGUCGGUUCACGCCAUUUUGACCUACCGAGCGCGCACAGAUACGUGAAACGACAGUCACGCAACACGUAUGCAACCACACGCGCCAAAACUAAUUGCAUCGGAUGAACACUGAGAAUCGCCGUUCGUGAUUCUGCACUCUUGUUUCCCGGGCCGAUGAUUUGAUUUCACGACGCGGUAUGUGUGUGCGUGAUCUUUCGAAAAUGAGAUUCGCGACACACCACUCGGAACACAGUGCGCAAUAUGACGCAACGUUUGUGUUGGUGUUAAUAGUUGGUAUCUCUGUCGAUAGCGUGCGUCGCGCCAAUAUUCAAAUUAACGUAAUUAAAAGCGGAUCCCGGGAAAGGGCAUCGUCGGUGUUUUCUAGUAAGCGGCCACAUUCGGAAACGUGUUACGCGAUCGAACGAAUGGGACUAGAGAAUUUUUUCCAAAUGAAAAUCGAACGUAUACGAUCGGUAUCGAUCAGUGAAACGUACUCGUGUAAUUUUUGCGUGUGUUUUUUUAAUAAAGAAGAUGGGUUUACAUAUCG